UACGUAGGCAGCGAGCGUUGUUCGGAGUUACUGGGCGUAAAGGGUGUGUAGGCGGUUGUUUAAGUUUGGUGUGAAAUCUCCCGGCUCAACUGGGAGGGUGCGCCGAAUACUGAAUGACUUGGAGUGCGGGAGAGGAAAGUGGAAUUCCUGGUGUAGCGGUGAAAUGCGUAGAGAUCAGGAGGAACACCUGUGGUGUAGACAGCUUACUGGACGAUAACUGACGCUGAGGCACGAAAGCGUGGGUAGCAAACAGG
This 254-nucleotide ribosomal RNA is filed under the name uncultured bacterium. Its description in RNAcentral is "partial 16S ribosomal RNA". It matches the Rfam family "Bacterial small subunit ribosomal RNA", at positions 524 to 776 of the family's 1533-position model. The record is from RNAcentral.